AGGACGAACGCUGGCGGCGUGCCUAAUACAUGCAAGUCGAACGGUCUUUUCUAUGGAAGCUUGCUUCCACUGAGAAGAUAGUGGCGAACGGGUGAGUAACACGUGGGUAACCUGCCCAUAAGAGGGGGGAUAACAUCCGGAAACGGGUGCUAAUACCGCAUAGUUUUCUUGAUCGCAUGAUCGGGAAAGGAAAGACGGCCUUUGUGCUGUCGCUUAUGGAUGGACCCGCGGCGUAUUAGUUAGUUGGUGAGGUAACGGCUCACCAAGACGAUGGUACGUAGCCGACCUGAGAGGGUGAUCGGCCACAUUGGGACUGAGACACGGCCCAAACUCCUACGGGAGGCAGCAGUAGGGAAUCUUCCGCAAUGGACGAAAGUCUGACGGAGCAACGCCGCGUGAGUGAAAGAAGGUUUUCGGAUCGUAAAACUCUGUUGUCAGAGAAGAACAAGUUGGAGAGUAACUGCUCCAGCCUUGACGGUAUCUGACCAGAAAGCCACGGCUAACUACGUGCCAGCCGCCGC
RNAcentral lists this ribosomal RNA (521 nucleotides) under uncultured bacterium. Its description in RNAcentral is "bacterial SSU rRNA". It matches the Rfam family "Bacterial small subunit ribosomal RNA", at positions 26 to 518 of the family's 1533-position model. The record is from RNAcentral.